Molecule: ribosomal RNA, 466 nt
Filed under: uncultured bacterium
Lineage: Bacteria
Description: partial 16S ribosomal RNA
Rfam family: Bacterial small subunit ribosomal RNA
Source: RNAcentral
GAUGAACGCUGGCGGCGUGCUUAACACAUGCAAGUCGAACGGAAAGGCUCCUGCUUGCAGGGGUACUCGAGUGGCGAACGGGUGAGUAACACGUGGGUGAUCUGCCCUGCACUUCGGGAUAAGCCUGGGAAACUGGGUCUAAUACCGGAUAGGACGAUGGUUUGGAUGCCAUUGUGGAAAGUUUUUUCGGUGUGGGAUGAGCUCGCGGCCUAUCAGCUUGUUGGUGGGGUAAUGGCCUACCAAGGCGUCGACGGGUAGCCGGCCUGAGAGGGUGUACGGCCACAUUGGGCCUGAGCUACGGCCCAGACUCCUACGGUAGGCAGCAGUGGGGAAUAUUGCACAAUGGGCGGAAGCCUGAUGCAGCGACGCCGCGUGGGGGAUGACGGGCUUCGGGUUGUAAACUCCUUUCGCUAGGGACGAAGCGCAAGUGACGGUACCUGGAGAAGAAGCACCGGCUAACUACGUG